This 1126-nucleotide long non-coding RNA is filed under the name Salmo salar (Atlantic salmon). RNAcentral describes it as "lncRNA (ENSSSAG00000102590.1)". Lineage: Eukaryota; Metazoa; Chordata; Actinopteri; Salmoniformes; Salmonidae. The record is from RNAcentral.
CCGGCUAGAGUCCCCUACCAACAGACCGGCUAGAGUCCCCUACCAACAGACCGGCUAGAGUCCCCUACCAACAGACCAGCUAGAGUCCCCUACCAACAGACCAGCUAGAGUCCCCUACCAACAGACCAGCUAGAGUCCCCUACCAACAGACCAGCUAGAGUCCCCUACCAACAGACCAGCUAGAGUCCCCUACCAACAGACCAGCUAGAGUCCUCUACCAACAGACCAGCUAGAGUCCUCUACCAACAGACCAGCUAGAGUCCCCUACCAACAGACCAGCUAGUCCCCUACCAACAGACCGGCUAGAGUCCCCUACCAACAGACCAGCUAGAGUCCCCUACCAACAGACCAGCUAGAGUGCCUUACCAACAGACCAGCUAGAGUCCCCUACCAACAGACCAGCUAGAGUCCCCUACCAACAGACCAGCUAGAGUCCCCUACCGACAGACCGGCUAGAUCCCCCUACCGACAGACCGGCUAGAGUCCCCUACCGACAGACCGGCUAGAGUCCCCUACCGACAGACCGGCUAGAGUCCCCUACCGACAGACCGGCUAGAGUCCCCUACCGACAGACCGGCUAGAGUCCCCUACCGACAGACCGGCUAGAGUCCCCUACCGACAGACCGGCUAGAGUCCCCUACCGACAGACCGGCUAGAGUCCUCUACCAACAGACCAGCUAGAGUCCCCUACCAACAGACCAGCUAGAGUCCCCUACCAACAGACCAGCUAGAGUCCCCUACCAACAGACCAGCUAGAGUCCCCUACCAACAGACCAGCUAGAGUCCCCUACCAACAGACCAGCUAGAGUCUCCUACCAACAGACCAGCUAGAUUCCCCUACCAACAGACCAGCUAGAGUCCCCUACCAACAGACCAGCUAGAGUCCCCUACCAACAGACCAGCUAGAGUCUCCUACCAACAGACCAGCUAGAGUCCCCUACCAACAGACCCAUUCAGGUCAGAACCACCAGAAUCCUGGUCCACAAACUCCCAGCUGGUCCUUUUCUAAUCACAUGGCAGAAAAACAUUCUGAAAUUAUCCUCCUGGAAGACAAAAAUGAGUUUUUGCUCUGCAGCUUUGUAGUUGAUCAAGAACGAGUAGGGUAACAAAAGACCCUUCUGUUGCG